CAUGAGAUACUUGGACUCAACAAUCGAAGACAGCUCAACAUAAGCUUUUGAACCUAAGAUCAGAAGCUCUAACAUAUCAUGUUCACAUUUUGGGAAUACAUCACUAUGUCCCUCAUGGAUGUCACAUAUAUGAUUGAGAACUGACAACCACUUUGCCUUGACAAGUUCUUCAUCACCAUUGCUGGAAGCAGCACACCAGUAUACAUGGUUGGAAAUUGAUUGGGCCCAAUUCGACAAUAAUUUGCAACCACUUUUUUUUGAUGCUGCUAAAAUUUUCUUUUUGAUUCCUGUUGGAUUUUGAUUGUUGAUGAAAUGUGCAAAAGAUGCUAAACUUGUGGGUUCCAAAGAGUAUUCAAAAAUCGUGGGUACAGCAUCCUUCUUAAGGCGAAGCCGUCCUGCUGUCCAUCCUACUGAUUGCAUCGCUUCAAAAUUUUGCACGAAGCACGAACUCUCGAAAUGUUGCGAGCACAAUUUUGAGCUCUUUGUUGGCUUCCAAUUUUUGCGUCGGAUUUUUUCAAUCCAAAUAUCUCGCAUACGCUUGUUUUCGGGAAACGAAAAAAAAGAAACCUUUUGCUGCGUUUCGUGGUUCUUAGAAGAACCGUUUUUACAAUUAAAUGCGGCACAAUAAACCAUAUUUUCAAUGCUAAAUUGUCGUGUUGUUAAGAAGUUACCAAUAUAUUUUGAACGAAUCGCGCAAUUGACCGCGUU
This is a long non-coding RNA of Xenia sp. Carnegie-2017, 708 nucleotides long. RefSeq lists it as uncharacterized. The record is from RefSeq and is a predicted model, not a curated record. Lineage: Eukaryota; Metazoa; Cnidaria; Anthozoa; Malacalcyonacea; Xeniidae. The transcript is spliced from 3 exons.